This 459-nucleotide ribosomal RNA is filed under the name uncultured bacterium. RNAcentral describes it as "partial 16S ribosomal RNA". It matches the Rfam family "Bacterial small subunit ribosomal RNA", at positions 338 to 795 of the family's 1533-position model. The record is from RNAcentral.
CCUACGGGCGGCUGCAGUGAGGAAUAUUGGUCAAUGGUCGAGAUCCUGAACCAGCCAAGCCGCGUGAGGGAAGACGGUCCUGUGUGUUGUAAACCUCUUUUGUCAGGGAACAAAGACUGGGACGUGUCCCGGACUGCGUGUACCCGAAGAAAAAGCAUCGGCUAACUCCGUGCCAGCAGCCGCGGUAAUACGGAGGAUGCGAGCGUUAUCCGGAUUUCUUGGGUUUAAAGGGUGCGUAGGCGGUCCGUUAAGUCAGCGGUAAAAGCCCGGGGCUCAACCCCGGCCCGCCGUUGAAACUGGCAGACUUGAGUUGGCGAGAAGUACGCGGAAUGCGCGGUGUAGCGGUGAAAUGCAUAGAUAUCGCGCAGAACUCCGAUUGCGAAGGCAGCGUACCGGCUCCAGACUGACGCUGAGGCACGAAAGCGUGGGGAUCGAACAGGAUUAGAUACCCGGGUAGUC